Dendroctonus ponderosae (mountain pine beetle) is the source of this 5562-nucleotide long non-coding RNA. RefSeq lists it as uncharacterized. The record is from RefSeq and is a predicted model, not a curated record. The transcript has 2 exons. Lineage: Eukaryota; Metazoa; Arthropoda; Insecta; Coleoptera; Curculionidae.
UCGACUGUCUUGGCACAUUAGGGCUGCUUUCAGAGCGGUGCCAACGCUCCACUAGACCAUUGCUCUGUGGACGGUAAGGAGUUGAUCGUUGUCUCUCAAUAGUGCUUGGAACAGCUCUCCUUCAAAUUGGCUUCCUUGAUCAGAUGUGAUAACUCGAGGGGCGCCAUAACGAAUGAUCCGUGUGUUGUAGAACGUUGUGGUUAUCGUGUCGGCUAUAAUGUCGGACAUUGGGGCUGCUUCUGGCCAUCUAGAAAAUCGAUCAAUCAUAGUGAGCAAAUUCAUUUGCCCCUGACUGGAUGGUAAUGGUCCGACGAUGUCCAGAUGAAUAUGCUCGAACCGUGCAUUGGUGGUUGGAAAAGUCCCAAAAGCGUUCUUGUUGUGGCUUUUGACUUUGGCUUUUUGGCAUGCUAGACAAGUCCGAGACCACUCGGCAAUGUCACGGUUCAUAUUUGGCCAGACGAAUUUUUGUCGGCUGGUGGCACGACCACUCGGAUGGGCGAGGCCAUGGACUGUGAAAAUUUUCUUUCGAAGGCUCUUCGGUAUGAUUUCUGCGCUAGAUGUGUCACAAUAGAUACCCUGUGAAUCACUCAUUGUGAAUUUGCGAAGAACUAGUGACGUUGUGGAGGUAAGCAAAUGUUGUAGCUCGGAAUCAAUUUCUUGUUCCUGAGCUAAUUCGGACGUUGUUACAAUAACAAGUGUCGUAAUAGCAUCCAAUCGUGAUAGCGCGUCUGCUAACACAUUUUUAGUUCCUGCAAUGUGUACGAUGUUAGUGCUAAACUGGGAAAUAAAGUCGAUAUGACGAAACUGUCGUGGUGAUGCCUUGUCUGCUCGUUGAUGAAAGACAUACAUUAAACGUUUGUGAUCUGUCUUAAUGAUGAAUUGUCGUCCUUCAACAAAAUGUCGAGAAUAUUUAACGCUACGGUAAAUCGCUAACAGUUCCCUGUCAUAUGUGCUGUAUUUGCGUUCAGUUGAUAAAAGUUUUUUUGCCAUUGAUUGUCGAUCCGUUGCUCGAGGGUAGCACCUAUGGCGCUGCCAGACGCAUCUAUAGUAAUGGCAAGCUUUGUUCCCUCCUUAGGGUGGGCUAACAACGCUGCGUUUGCGGGGUCGUUUUUGACGAGGUAAAAAGCUCUGUUGGCUGUAUCUGUCCACCCAAUUCGUCGCUUGUCGUUGCGUUUGCUGUCCUUUAGAUAAACGUUUAAAACGCUCUGGUGUUCAGCUGCGUUUCGGACAAAUCUCCGAUAAAAAUUUACAACUCCGAGAAAUCUGCGUAACUCGACAAUCGUUGCAAGCUUCGAAUUAUUUCUAAUGGCACUGACCUUUUCGGGCAAGGGCUUAGUACCAGAGCAACUUAUUCGAUAGCUUAAAUAAUUAACAAAUUCUUGACCAAAAACACACUUCGAUGGGUUGAGUUUCAGGCCGAAUUGGCGAAGGCGCUCGAAAAUCCGUUGAAGAUGGUGUAAAUGUUCUUCGUUAUCGUGGGAAGCUAUUAAUAUGUCGUCUAUGUAACAAUAAACGAAAUCUAAACCGCGCAGUACAUGAUCCAUAAACCGUUAAAAACUCUGUGCGGCAUUGCACAAUCGGAAAGUCAUUCGCGUGAAUUCACAGAGUCCAAAAGGCGUGAUCACUGCAGUUUUUGGAAUGUCUGCUUCCGCAACUGAUGACCGAAUUUGAUGGUAGGCGCGCGUUAAAUCUAAUGUGGAAAACACAUUUUUACCGAACAAAUUUGCUGCAAAGUCUUCGAUAUGCUCGAUCGGGUAUCGAUCUGCGAUAGUGACGGAGUUUAGCUUGCGGUAAUCUCCACAUGGUCUCCAUUCUCCAGCCUUUUUCGGAACAAGGUGAAGCGGACCGGCCCAAGGGCUCUGGCAUGGACGGCAUAUACCCAUUUCAACCAUAUAUUGAAGUUCUGAUUUUGCAAAUUUCAGUUUAUCAGAUGGCAAACUUCUGACGGGUUUCACAACGGGCGGUCCACUUGUGAUGAUAUGAUGUUCGACAUUGUGUUUGGGCACAGCAGUUUUGACCAAAGGGUUAGUGAUGUCGAUGUAACUUUUGAGGAGCUCGGCGAUUUUCGGUUGGAUCACAUCAGGAAUGGCUGUAAUAACGGCAGCGGGUUGAGGGCCGAUUUCACCUAUAACUGAAAUUUGAGUGUUAUUGUCGAUAAGUCUUUGGUUACGCAAAUCAACCAUCACCAACAAACACCAAAAACUUUAAACCAGUCUCUCGGUCGACCACAAAUAAACGGCAUUUGGUAAAACCGUCGGCACUGGCCGCGACAGGCAGACGGCUGUCUAGUUUCCCGAAUUUAUCGAAAAAUUGCAAGGUUUGAGAACUUUUUAGCUUUUUUCCGAAUUCGGCGUGGAACCAACAAAGACCUAUAUGACUUUCAGUCGGUUCGUUGGUUCUGUUACGCGAAUGCACGCUUCCUCUCGAAAGGGUGCCGCCACGACUUUGCUGUCGGAAAUGUUGACGACUGUUCAUUUUGAGACUUGCUAUCUCAACAGAAAGUGCUUCGAUCUUACUUGUUAGGGCUUGCAACUCGUUGGAACUGUUCGCUGGCGGGGUAGAUACUGCGUUGACUCCAUGUAGAUCCAAAACUUCGUGAAGUUUGUCCGCUGUUGUCACCAGACUCUGUAGACCUCCAGUAUUAGAAGAAAAGAUAGCCUGAGUCUGGCUGGGUAGUCGCUGUAGCCAUAAGCUUGUUAAGAAUUCUUCGCUGACUCUAUUUCCGGCUAAGCUCGUUAUGUGCACCAGGAUCUGCGAUGGGCCUUGAUCUCCGAAAUCCGUGUCCGAAAGAAGCUUUUUUAGUCGUUGCGUCUCGAAAUCGGCAAAACAAGCGAUUAAUCGUUCGCUUCAAUGUCGAUCGCUUCAAUGUGGUAUACUUAUUCUGCGUAGGUGGGUUUAGGAUGAGGUCACUAACCUGGAUCAAUAUUUCCCACUGGAUGUUACGGUCAUGUGAAACUUGGUGGUGUCGGAAGUGAUUGAGUUCGUGUGGAACUGCGACUCUAUUUGAGCAAACCAUAACACAGGGUUUUUGUUUCCCAAAAGGCGUUUGUAAAGCCACAUGGCUGACUGCUGCAGAAUCGUUGUUCUGAACUGGCGCUGAGACAUUAGAUGCAACAGGUUGAGUUUGACCAGUGGGAGAACUCAUGUUGGCGUGCACUUAGGCCCGGUUCUACCAAGAGUGAUUACAUUCUUGGUUAAUUAAUCACAACCAUUUUUUAAUCAUCAAUUUAAUCAUGAUUAAAAUGUCAUGCGUUCCACAACAAACAUUUUAACUCCGGUUCGAUAAUCAUCAGUCUCCUCGGGUAAGAUCGUAUUUCCUUUGAAUCAACGGUUCCGAUUGGUUCAAACAACUGACUGAUCAACUGGAAUCAUUUUCUCUCAAAAUAGUUGGGUUGUGUUCGUUAUUUAGUCUAUCCAUUUGCAGUGUCCACGUGUGGUACCAGUAAAUAGUGUUUUUUUAAUACACAUUGCAUUUUAAAUAAAAAUAGAAGAACAAGAUGGGAGAUGAAUCACGAGUGACAUUAUUAGAGGUACGUACAGUCUGUAAAAAAAUCUCCAUAUACCAGUCAUUUUUAAGUAUUCUUUCUUUUUUAUUCACUCUCUCUGAGCAACACUCAUUUGUGAAGUGCUUUUAGUUUGCUAAUUUAUUUAAAUUUAAAUAGAAAAAUAUCGUCACUUUGCUUACAAGUAAUAAAAUUGAUAAAAUAAAGGUAAAGUCAAUUGAAACACUCUAUCUGAACAAUAAAAAAUAAAAAAAAUUUAGGUUCGAGAAAUUAAUUUUAAAAAAUUAAUAAAAAAAUUAUAUAAAAAAGUCUCCCUACACUUUACAUAGACACAAAAGGCUAUUCAGCAUCAUUUCCUGAUCACAUUUUUUGACACAAAUAAAAUUUGGUUGUUUUAGCACAAGAAAAAGAAAAGAUGCCGAAAACUUUAUAAGCAGUGAAAAAUCUGCUCUAAUAGGGAUAAUUGACGAACAUAAAAACAUUAUAGAAUGUAAGAAAACUGAUAGUGUUCAUUGAUGUGCAUCAAAACAAAGAAUGAAACAUCGCUCAAAAUUUGCACUAAAUUCAACGCACAAGGCAUAUUCCCAGAGUAUCGUUCUGCUGAAAAAUUAAAAUUGUUGUGGGACAAUUUAAAGCGAAACACCAGAAAAAAUAUGAGCUAUUUACAGAAAGAAAUGUUCCAAACUGGUAAGAUAAUUCACUCAGUUGAAAUCAAAGAAAGUUUUAUUUAUUUAUUGUCACAUUUUUAAUAAGUGGCAGAACUUCGUUAACAAUAGAAGAUCCUUUGAGCCUACAAGUGAAAAAUUUGAUUGGGAAACUAAUUGAGCCUAUGACCAAUGAUUAUGACGAUGAUGCUCUGGAAGAUAUAACUAUACAAGAUACAGAGGUGGAGUUUGCAAGGAGCAUGGAUGGUGACAACGAAAUCACCACCAACACAACGCCAGAUCCAGAUAUUUCUGUAGCUCAAUACCAAGAAAUAUUGGAAGAAACUGAGGUUUGUUUUCGGUCACUCUCGUGUGUCCGCUCUUCUGGAGUUGGUUGUUCAGGCUAUGCUUAUCUUGUAACUAAUCACUUUACCAACGCUUUUUUGAAUUACAUUUAGCAGGCAAUAAGUGAUGAUGAUGAUGAUCAUCAUGAUUGGGCCAGUUGGAACCCAGUGGGUCUCAAAAGUAAAAAGAAUCCUCUCUUAAAAAUACCAUCAAAGAUUUUUGUGAGCACUCCUUCCACAUCACAGGCGAGUGCAAAAGAUGGAUUAGAACAUAUGGAACGACGGCUGACAGGAAAGAACAAAAAAAGCACGCAUUGGAAAAUAGGAGUGUAUUGGUUGAACUGUAAAUGCAAAAAAGUACCGCCAAUUGUUACCAAGAAGUCUAAUUCGAAUUAUGGAACAAUAUCUUGGAAUGAAGAAUUGCAUAUUUUAACUGGACGGUGCGCUUUUCACGCAGCUAAAACGAUCAAAAAGUGGUUUGAAGAUCAUAAAUUCAAAGUUUUAUCGUGGCUCUCAAGCAGUCCGGACUUGAAUGUUAUAGACACUUUGUCAUCAAAUGAAGAAAUCAUUACCAGAAUUUCGUCAGACUCACUCAGUUCACUGGGACUCAAAGGCAAAACGUAUAAAAGCCGGUCAAAGCCGAAAGGUUAUGUUGCUUCUUAUUAAACUUCGCAUUAAUAUAGUUGUAUUAAAGUAAAAAUAAUCGAUUUUUUCCAAAACCGCGCCUAAAUGCUACUGCAUUUAAUAAUAGAUAUGCUUCUAUUGCUACAGGUAUGGUUUAAAAACCGGCGAGCGAAAGCGAAAUCGAUGCUGCAGACGGAAUCCAACGAUGGCAAGGUCUGGACAUGUACCGUCAUACAAAUCCUGAUAACGCUUAUGGAUUUGAAGGCCAGAGUCGAGAUCAAUACAACAUGGGGCGAUAGUCAGCUGUUCUGCUUUAGCAUGGUUAGAUUAGUAAUAGUAUUGAAGUAAAAUGGAUAGAUCAAUCUGUGAUAUAUUUUUAUUGAAGGAACUACUGAAUUGUCAGUGGCAUUAUCUGUGAUUCAUGAUAUUAUAUUUCACUCUGCUGUA